RNAcentral lists this long non-coding RNA (835 nucleotides) under Elaeis guineensis (African oil palm). RNAcentral describes it as "long non-coding RNA (EGUI_LNC070604)". The record is from RNAcentral. Lineage: Eukaryota; Viridiplantae; Streptophyta; Magnoliopsida; Arecales; Arecaceae.
CCCCCCCAAUCUGUAGGUACGCAGCGAUUUCAGUUUUCUUUAUGAAGGAAUACAGAGAUCGAGCCAAAACAAAGAAAAACACGAUUCCCCUUCUCUAUUUCUUAUAGAUCGCACCUUACGAGAGCGCCGCCGGUCGGGAAUGGCGGAAGGUGCGAGAUCGAACCUCGUCGACCCUAAAACUAGAUCAAAAAUGAAAGCUUCCGUACCGAACCAAUUCCUUUAGGCGAUUUACAAGAAGCAAGGGCUUAGAAAAAGAAGCGAGUCCGGAAUAGAGAGGCCUUCACGUCAGGAAAAAGAACAACAAAGCCCGCAUCUUUAAAAAGAAGGGGCUCGCCAAGUCCUCGCUUACCGGUGGGUGCGCUUAUGUGAAAUGAGGAGAAAUUUUGAGAAAAAAAUGAAAUUAGGUAUCUUCGGGACUGAAGAAGCACGAACUUCACCAGGUAUAGAAGUUGAGUGUGGAAGGUGAACGGCGGGAGAUCCAACUCCACCUCACUCAAAAGGUGCCUUGGCCUCAAUGACAAUGAAAAAAGACUUUCUUUUCUAAGGCAGUAAGUGAAGGAAGCAAGAGCUGCUACAGAAAAUAAGUGCGUUCGGAGGAAAGUGCAGCAACAAAAGAAGGCAGACAGCGAGAGAUAGUACAGCGUAAGGGGGAGGGGGAGUUAGCGCGUAACCCCCAGAACCCCGUCAACUCAUUCAAUGAAUCUUCUUUCAUUCACUAUGCGGCUGAAUUCUACUCCGUAUUUACCAGCAAUGGAAUAGGACAGUCAUCCGAAAUGAGACAAUGGAGGCGUUUAACAUCUAUAUGACCAAGAAGGCGAUCUCACGAAUUGGAUUC